UAAGGAAUAUCGGUCAAUGGGCGCAAGCCUGAACCAGCCAUGCCGCGUGCAGGAAGACGGCCCUAUGGGUUGUAAACUGCUUUUGUCAGGGAAUAAACCCCCGCUCGUGAGCGGGGCUGAAGGUACCUGAAGAAUAAGCAUCGGCUAACUCCGUGCCAGCAGCCGCGGUAAUACGGAGGAUGCAAGCGUUAUCCGGAUUCAUUGGGUUUAAAGGGUGCGCAGGCGGAUUGGUAAGUCAGGGGUGAAAUCCCACAGCUCAACUGUGGAACUGCCUUUGAUACUGUCAGUCUAGAGUAUAGUUGAAGUGGGCGGAAUGUGUCAUGUAGCGGUGAAAUGCUUAGAUAUGACACAGAACACCGAUCGCGAAGGCAGCUCACUAAGCUAUAACUGACGCUCAUGCACGAAAGCGUGGGGAUCAAACAG
RNAcentral lists this ribosomal RNA (423 nucleotides) under uncultured bacterium. RNAcentral's name for it is "bacterial SSU rRNA". It matches the Rfam family "Bacterial small subunit ribosomal RNA", at positions 355 to 775 of the family's 1533-position model. The record is from RNAcentral.